AGGUGUGAUCAUACCAGCACUAAUGCACCAGAUCCCAUCAGAACUAUGCAGUGAAGCGUGCUUGGACAAGAGUAGUACUAGGAUGGGUGACCUCCUGGGAAGUCCUCGUGUUGCAGUUU
This 119-nucleotide ribosomal RNA is filed under the name Phaseolus vulgaris (common bean). Lineage: Eukaryota; Viridiplantae; Streptophyta; Magnoliopsida; Fabales; Fabaceae. The record is from RNAcentral.